UACGAAGGGGGCUAGCGUUGCUCGGAAUCACUGGGCGUAAAGGGUGCGUAGGCGGGUCUUUAAGUCAGGGGUGAAAUCCUGGAGCUCAACUCCAGAACUGCCUUUGAUACUGAAGAUCUUGAGUUCGGGAGAGGUGAGUGGAACUGCGAGUGUAGAGGUGAAAUUCGUAGAUAUUAGGAAGAACACCAGUGGCGAAGGCGGCUCACUGGUCCGGUACUGACGCUGAGGUGCGAAAGCGUGGGGAGCAAACAGG
RNAcentral lists this ribosomal RNA (253 nucleotides) under uncultured bacterium. RNAcentral describes it as "partial 16S ribosomal RNA". It matches the Rfam family "Bacterial small subunit ribosomal RNA", at positions 524 to 776 of the family's 1533-position model. The record is from RNAcentral.